CUCGAGUCUUUGAGAAUAGCAAUAGUGGCGCCGAUAUAAUGUCUUCUGGAAUAACCUAAUACAUAGGUAAGAGCAUUUUACUUAGGCUUUUAUGAUUCUUUCAUCUUUUGUCUACCUACGUAUGGACCUACAAUCUCAUAGCAAACACACCCAACAAAGGCAUUAUAGAUCUACUCAAAACCAAGAACUGGAGACAUAACAAGUUCAUAAAAAGUACACCCAAUAUUUCACGACCGCCCACCAGCCGUCCCCAUAUCUAGUUAGGCUUUUUCGAAAGAUGCAAGUGUGCCAGAAAACUUGUCGUCCUCUUCCGGGGUCUCAGGAACUUGGAUAGACCCUGCAGGAGAUUUACGGAAUAUGCGCUUGGUAUCUCGUCGACGGAGAAUGAGGAUGAUACUCAUCCAAAGAACUAAGGAGAGUGGUUGAGGUAUUGUUCGGUCGUGAUUACAUGUCCAACCUUUUCUGGCUUGGGGGAAAUCGAUUGUCUUCCAGACAAAGUUGGGAGCCUGUUAAACUUCAUUAGUAGUAUUCCUCGACCAAGGCGAAGUACAAUCGACUUACAACAGCCUGGACAACAUAAGCCAAGUCAUUUGCAGCAGCGACGAGAAUAGCUCGCUUCUCACUAUCGUCUGAGCAGAUCUCGUUGAUGAUGAUGGUGCUGUCGACGUUCUUGUAAAGUGGAAAGUGGACGAGGAUGGAGGCAAUGAUAAGCUGGCGUGGGUCGCCAACAUAGACGAACGGCCAUCGUCGUCCUCGGAAAAGACCAUCACUUAACCAAGCAAAGGCAAGAGCAACGAUAACAAAAAUUGCGGUUUGGGGUAAGGGAACUGUGGAGCAAAAUGUUCAUAAUAAGUAUCCAUAGCCAAUGAGAUCCUUGGCUACUCACGUUGGUUGAUCUGUCCAACAGAGAACCGGCGGUCGCCACCAGGGUAGGGAGGGUCGUUGAAGGAUUUUAAGAAAUAAC
This 964-nucleotide small RNA is filed under the name Cryptococcus neoformans H99. RNAcentral's name for it is "Cryptococcus neoformans var. grubii H99 hypothetical RNA". The record is from RNAcentral. Lineage: Eukaryota; Fungi; Basidiomycota; Tremellomycetes; Tremellales; Cryptococcaceae.